CCCGCACCUCCACGCCCAUCCCCUCCAAAUGCUCUAUCGGUAGCGCGUCUCAGCCUUGCACCGCCAUCUUACCUUGCGCCGCCGUCGCACCGAACCUCCAUUGCACUGAACUUCCAUCGCCGCGAAACUCUGUCACACCCCUUCCCGGCUCUUCUCUGUGUGUUGCUGGUUCCCUUUCGAACCCUAAUAUGCAUUUCUCUGCCACCGUCUUCGUCGCCUCCGUCCUUAUCCUCUUCACCUUCUCCUGCGUUCACUCUUUCUACCUUCCCGGCGUCGCUCCUCAAGAUUUUCAAACCUAGCAGCAGGAGAUAACAAUUACAAUGAUCCAUACUUUCGUUUGAAUUUUGAAGAAAUUUGAUGGUGCAUGCAGUAGCUGGGAUUGAUAAACCCUAGGAUUGUGAUUUAAUUAGAGCACUUGUGGAAGCACUCUCUGCAUCAUACACCAUUAUCCUAGUAUUUUCAAAGCUAUAUCUCCUCACUAUAUUUUCCAUUUCUUUUGGAGAAAUGGAAAAGUUGGCUGGCUU
Arachis ipaensis is the source of this 524-nucleotide non-coding RNA. The record is from RefSeq and is a predicted model, not a curated record. Lineage: Eukaryota; Viridiplantae; Streptophyta; Magnoliopsida; Fabales; Fabaceae.